AUCUACAGCCAUACCACCCUGAACGUGCCUGAUCUCAACUGAUCUCAGAAGCUAAGCAAGGUCGGGCCUGGUUUAUACUUAGAUGGGAGGUCAUAGCCA
Molecule: ribosomal RNA, 99 nt
Organism: Fukomys damarensis (Damara mole-rat)
Lineage: Eukaryota; Metazoa; Chordata; Mammalia; Rodentia; Bathyergidae
Source: Ensembl